GCGCGAUUAGCUCAGUGGUAGAGCGCUUCGUUCACAUCGAAGAGGUCGCUGGUUCGAUCCCAGCAUCGCGCACCA
This 75-nucleotide transfer RNA is filed under the name Candidatus Jorgensenbacteria bacterium GWA1_54_12. RNAcentral describes it as "tRNA-Val". It matches the Rfam family "tRNA". From Rfam's summary of the family: Transfer RNA (tRNA) molecules are approximately 80 nucleotides in length. The record is from RNAcentral. Lineage: Bacteria; Candidatus Joergenseniibacteriota.